This 1280-nucleotide long non-coding RNA is filed under the name Physcomitrium patens. RNAcentral describes it as "long non-coding RNA (PPAT_LNC000908)". Lineage: Eukaryota; Viridiplantae; Streptophyta; Bryopsida; Funariales; Funariaceae. The record is from RNAcentral.
AGUCCAAUGGAUCAAGCCAUUUUCUAGGUUCUAGUGGUGCAAAUGGGCGGCGCUUGGAAUCGUGGAGCCCUGGCGAGGUGAGUCUUUCUGAAGCAACGAUCGUUGAGAUGUGACAACGCAUUUGAGCUGUCAUUUGAGCUGUUGAGAUGAAAAAAAUAAGUUCAAAUCAAUUCGCUUGAUAUCAAUAUUGUAUAUUGCACAUUAUCAAUUUCACGGGAUUAUACGAUAGAUCUUUUGAUUUUAAAAUUUGCCGAAAGAACUUGCAGGGUAGUAGCCUGUGGGAAGCUCAAUAUGCAAUGUCAGAGGAUGGAUCCCCCACGUACCUCGAUGAUGACCUUAGAAUCAUGGAGUCGAGCAACGCUGACAUGCUUGACGAAGGACCUAUGGUGUGCAGCGGUUUAGACCAUGCCGAUUCACAGGGCCUUAACAGAACCAAUCUUAGACUAAGGUGGGGACAUCUAAAACUUGGUCAGAAGAUGUUCGCAGCUUCCUUUAGAACCUGAAGGUUUCUUUUAUCUGCAUUCUCCGUUUUGUUAAGAAUUUCACUCUUGUACUUUAGUUUAUUUACAACUUUUUUGUCAUGCAUGGGAAUUAGAGCUUGUAUGCUGCUGUCUCUUUGCACUCUGCCUCUGAAGAUGUUUGCAGAAAUCGGGGUGCAGUUUUGACGCUUGCAAGUUUAUUUUUAUAUUUAUUAUAUUUUUCGCAACAAGCUCACUCCGCUUGUUUGGUUUAGAGUUUAUCAUCAAUGUUAGUUUUGGUUGGUGAAACAGAUUCUUAAUAAAUUGGCUAAUCAACGCCCUUCUUAGACUACGACACCCGACGCAGGAGACGAACCUGGUGCACAUUUACGGACCGCAAGUGCGCUUCGACCGAGGUCAAGCGUUGGCAUUCAAUCUAUUGGACUUGAAUGGCAUAGCCAUCAGAGCAGAGCUUGUGCAGAGAUUGGCUGAUAAAAACAACAUCUCGUUGGGUCUCGGCACACUUUGCAACAUUGUCUAUCCCGAAGGCUCGACAGAUCAUGCUGUACGCCACUUUAUCCCCUUCUUAUAAUCCUCAAAAUAACAUCCAAGUAAUGUCACAUUUUUAUGAUAACAUUCCUGAAAAAUGUAUUAAUUUUGUUUGCAAUCGGUCCUUUUAAACGCAAAAGAAACUAACGCAAAUAACUUCACUCAAUAUUCACACAAGGACUUUGGUAACUCAGACAGUCAACGUAUCUGUGUUGAUUCACGGACAGUGUGAACUUACAAAAAGGCAUAAUACGCAGACACAGUUUGUUGGCC